UGGUGCAUGGCCGUUCUUAGUUGGUGGAGUGAUUUGUCUGGUUAAUUCCGAUAACGAACGAGACCUUUACCAUACUAAAUAGUUUGAUUUAUAAAUUCAUUUUAUAGAUUUAUGAUAGCAAUAUCUAAACUUCUUAGAGGGACUAUUGGUUUCUAAACCAAAGGAAGUAAAGGCGAUAACAGGUCUGUGAUGCCCUUAGAUGUUCUGGGCUGCACGCGCGCUACAAUGAUAGUUUCAACGAGUAUUUAUAUUUUUUUUAUAUUUUACUUAACCGGAAGGUUUGGUUAAUCUUAAACAACUAUCGUGCUUGGGAUAGAUGAUUGCAAUUAUUUAUCUUGAACCAGGAAUUCCUAGUAAUCGUAUAUCAUCAGUGUGCGAUGAUUACGUCCCUGCCCCUUGUACACACCG
RNAcentral lists this ribosomal RNA (408 nucleotides) under Platyamoeba plurinucleolus. RNAcentral's name for it is "bacterial SSU rRNA". It matches the Rfam family "Eukaryotic small subunit ribosomal RNA", at positions 1278 to 1671 of the family's 1831-position model. The record is from RNAcentral. Lineage: Eukaryota; Discosea; Flabellinia; Vannellidae.